ACCCUUGUGGAGGAGGACGCCGAAGGUGGGGCUAAUGACUGGGGUGAAGUCGUAACAAGGUAGCCGUACCGGAAGGUGCGGCUGGAUCACCUCCUAACAGGGAGACAACAAAAUGUUUAAUAUUAUUAUUUUGUCACCUUAGGUCGAUCGGUAUCUCACGUUCUUAAUUUAUUAAGAAUUUCAUUUUCUAAGUUUUUCUAGGUCACACCCAUUAUUUUUCCUGGGCCAUUAGCUCAGGUGGUUAGAGCGCACCCCUGAUAAGGGUGAGGUCCCUGGUUCAAGUCCAGGAUGGCCCAUAUCUCUAUGUUGGGGGUAUAGCUCAGUUGGUAGAGCGCCUGCUUUGCAAGCAGGAUGUCAGCGGUUCGAGUCCGCUUACCUCCACUGAUUACCACCUCUUCCAUAAUUUGCAGAAAGGAAAUGUUUUGAGUUGUGAUCAAAUUCUGAACGAAUCUAGCUUCCUAAUUAAAUCAUUAAGAUGCUGGACUCAUUGAAUUAAUUUCAUUGUUUUCAGAGAACCUUGACAACUGCAUAGAUUAUUUUUAAAGACAAUAAGCAUCUUUUAUGAUGCAGAUUUAUUAUUUGUGCGAAUGCAUUAAUAACAAUUCUAUUAAGCCGAUACUUUAAAUUUUGAAGUUAUUGGUCAAGCUACAAAGGGCUCACGGAGGAUACCUAGGCACACAGAG
Molecule: unclassified non-coding RNA, 683 nt
Filed under: uncultured Prochlorococcus sp.
Lineage: Bacteria; Bacillati; Cyanobacteriota; Cyanophyceae; Synechococcales; Prochlorococcaceae
Description: partial may contain 16S ribosomal RNA, 16S-23S ribosomal RNA intergenic spacer, and 23S ribosomal RNA
Rfam family: Bacterial small subunit ribosomal RNA (bases 1-97)
Source: RNAcentral